AUAUAUAUAUAUAUAUCUAUAAAAAAUAAUUUUUAAAAUAUUUAAAUUUUAUUUAAAAAUUAUUUAUAAAUUAAAUUGUUUUUAUUAUUUAAUAUAUAUAUAUAUAUAUAUAAUUAAUUAAUUUAUUUAAAUAUAAAAAUAUUUAAUAUUUAAAAUUUUAUUUUUAAAAAAAUUUUAAAAUAUAAUAAAAAUUGAAAAAUUUAUUUUUAAAAUUUUUAAAUUAAAUUUUUUAUUAAAAAUACCUUUUGUAUCAGGAUUUAUUAAAAUUUAAUUAUUUAAUAUAAUAAUUUUGAAAAUUAAAGAUUUAAUUUAAUAAUUUAUUUAAUGUAUAAAUAUUAUUAAUAAUAUUAAAUUAGAAAUUAUAAAUUUAUCAAAUUAAUUUAUCUAAUUAUUUUAAAAAUAAAUUUAAUUUAAUUAAUAAUAUAUAAAUAAAAAUUAAUUUAUAUUAUUAAUAAUUAUAUAAGAGAUAAAUUUUAUAUAAAUUUAAAAUUUUAUAUUUAAAAUUAAAUUUUUAAAAUUAAAAAUUUUUAUAAAUAAAUAAUUUAUUUUUAUUAAUAAAUAAUAAUUUUUAUUUCAAUAAAAAAUUUAUUAAAUUAUAAAAUUAUUAUAUUAAAUUAAAUUAUAAAAAUAAUAAUGAUAAAAUUAGUAAAUUUUAAUUAAAUUAAAAUUUAAUUUAAUAAAAAUUAAUUUUAAUAAUUAGGCAAAUUUUUAUUCAAAUGUUUAAUAAAAACAUUUUUUAAUGAAUUUUAAUAUUAAAUCAAAUCUACUCAAUGAAAUUAUUUAAAUAGUUGCAAUUUUAUGUACUAAGGUAGCAUAAUAAUUUGUUUAUUUAAUGUAAACUAGAAUGAAAGAUUAAAUGAAAUAAAAACUUUUUAAAAUUAAUUUAUUAAACUUUAUUUUUAGUAAAAAUUCUAAAUUUAAUUAAUUAGACGAAAAGACCCUAUAAAAUUUUAUAAUUUUUUAAAUUUAUUUAUAUUAAAUUUUAUUUAAAUUAAUAAAAAUUAUUUAAUUGGGGAAAUUUAAAAAUUUAAUAAAUUUUUUAAAUAUUAAAUAUAUAUAUAUAUAUAUAUAUAUAUAAACUUUAAUAUAAGAAUAAAAAAUCUAAAAAUUUUAAAUUUAAAUAAAAUUACUUUAGGGAUAACAGCAUAAUUUUUUUAAAUUUUUAGAUAAAAAAGAUUAUGACCUCGAUGUUGAAUUAAAAUAAAUUUAUAAUUAAAUAUUAUAUAAUUAAGUCUGUUCGACUUUUAAAAUUUUACAUGAUUUGAGUUUAAAUCGGUGUA
Molecule: ribosomal RNA, 1280 nt
Filed under: Gonatocerus sp. ZCS-2018
Lineage: Eukaryota; Metazoa; Arthropoda; Insecta; Hymenoptera; Mymaridae
Description: 16S ribosomal RNA
Source: RNAcentral